UCCGGGGUCGUCUAACGGUAGGACGAUGGCCUCUGAAGCCAUUAAUCUUGGUCCGAAUCCAAGCCCCGGAGCCA
Molecule: transfer RNA, 74 nt
Filed under: Candidatus Nealsonbacteria bacterium CG23_combo_of_CG06-09_8_20_14_all_40_13
Lineage: Bacteria; Candidatus Nealsoniibacteriota
Description: tRNA-Gln
Rfam family: tRNA
About the family: Transfer RNA (tRNA) molecules are approximately 80 nucleotides in length. Their secondary structure includes four short double-helical elements and three loops (D, anti-codon, and T loops).
Source: RNAcentral